AAUCUGCAAAUUGAAUUUCUGCUACAGCUCGAUUGUCCAUUGCAGCAAGACCAAUCGCAAAUCCAACUAUGCCCUGCUCACACAGAGGAGUGUUAAAGACCCUCUGUUUACCAAAUCGGUCAGCUAGCCCAGUAGUGCAACGAAAGACACCACCAAAACCAACAUCUUCUCCAAAUACAUAAGAACGAGGAUCAGAGUCUAAAGCGAUGUGAAGAGCUUGAUUAAUAGCAGAGAAAAGGUUGACAGAUUUGGUGGAAGUGUCAUUUUUGUUAACUGUUGAGGAAAAUCCCAUACAACUUUGAUUUUUGGAUGAAAUUGCAGCCAAUUUCCCAAUUCUUCUGAAAUUGCUACCCAUUUUCUUUGAACUUUCUCUCAAGAAUGUUGGAAUCUGAACAAGAGAAGCACAAUUGAGAUUCAAA
RNAcentral lists this unclassified non-coding RNA (419 nucleotides) under Hevea brasiliensis (rubber tree). Lineage: Eukaryota; Viridiplantae; Streptophyta; Magnoliopsida; Malpighiales; Euphorbiaceae. The record is from RNAcentral.